RNAcentral lists this small nuclear RNA (105 nucleotides) under Zalophus californianus (California sea lion). RNAcentral also lists the same sequence under 1 other name. The record is from RNAcentral. Lineage: Eukaryota; Metazoa; Chordata; Mammalia; Carnivora; Otariidae.
GUGCUCAUUUUGGCAGCACAUAUACUAAAAUUGGAGCAAUACAGAAGAUUAGCAUGGCUCUUGCACAAGGAUGACAUGCAAAUUCCUGAAGCAGUCCAUAUUUUU